RNAcentral lists this transfer RNA (88 nucleotides) under Alicyclobacillus sacchari. RNAcentral describes it as "tRNA-Cys". The record is from RNAcentral. Lineage: Bacteria; Bacillati; Bacillota; Bacilli; Caryophanales; Alicyclobacillaceae.
CAUCCAGAUAGGCGAAGGCCGCGCGUCGGUGGCGAUGCAAGCGCCUCGAACAGCGAGGUGGCUUCGGUUCCAAGCCAGUUCUGCAUGA